RNAcentral lists this ribosomal RNA (497 nucleotides) under uncultured bacterium. RNAcentral's name for it is "partial 16S ribosomal RNA". It matches the Rfam family "Bacterial small subunit ribosomal RNA", at positions 28 to 507 of the family's 1533-position model. The record is from RNAcentral.
GACGAACGCUGGCGGCGUGCCUAAUACAUGCAAGUAGAACGCUGAAGAGAGGAGCUUACUCUUCUUGGAUGAGUUGCGAACGGGUGAGUAACGCGUAGGUAACCUGCCUUGUAGCGGGGGAUAACUAUUGGAAACGAUAGCUAAUACCGCAUAACAAUGGAUGACACAUGUCAUUUAUUUGAAAGGGGCAAUUGCUCCACUACAAGAUGGACCUGCGUUGUAUUAGCUAGUAGGUGAGGUAAUGGCUCACCUAGGCGACGAUACAUAGCCGACCUGAGAGGGGGAUCGGCCACACUGGGACUGGGACACGGCCCAGACUCCUACGGGAGGCAGCAGUAGGGAAUCUUCGGCAAUGGGGGCAACCCUGACCGAGCAACGCCGCGUGAGUGAAGAAGGUUUUCGGAUCGUAAAGCUCUGUUGUAAGUCAAGAACGGGUGUGAGAGUGGAAAGUUCACACUGUGACGGUAGCUUACCAGAAAGGGACGGCUAACUACGUG